This 261-nucleotide ribosomal RNA is filed under the name uncultured bacterium. RNAcentral's name for it is "partial 16S ribosomal RNA". It matches the Rfam family "Bacterial small subunit ribosomal RNA", at positions 524 to 785 of the family's 1533-position model. The record is from RNAcentral.
UACGAAGGGGGCUAGCGUUGCUCGGAAUCACUGGGCGUAAAGCGCACGUAGGCGGCUUCUUAAGUCAGGGGUGAAAUCCUGGAGCUCAACUCCAGAACUGCCUUUGAUACUGGGGAUCUCGAGUCCGGAAGAGGUGAGUGGAACUCCGGAGUGUAGAGGUGAAAUUCGUAGAUAUUCGGAAGAACACCAGUGGCGAAGGCGGCUCACUGGCCGGUACUGACGCUGAGGUGCGAAAGCGUGGGGAGCAAACAGGAUAGAUAC